GACGAACGCUGGCGGCGUGCCUAACACAUGCAAGUCGAGCGAUGAAACCCUUCGGGGUAGAUUAGCGGCGAACGAGUGAGUAACACGUGGGUAACCUGCCUCAAAGAGGGGAAUACCCUCCCGAAAGGGAGAUUAAUACCGCAUAAUAUGUUUUGAUCGCAUGAUCUUGACAUCAAAGGAGUAAUCCGCUUUGAGAUGGACCCGCGGCGCAUUAGCUAGUUGGUGAGGUAACGGCUCACCAAAACGACGAUGCGUAGCCGACCUGAAAAGAUGAUCGGCCACAUUGGAACUGAGACACGGUCCACACUCCUACGGGAGGCAGCAGUGGGGAAUAUUGCGCAAUGAAGGAAACCCUGACGCAGCACCGCCGCGUGAAUGAUGAAGGCCUUCGGGUUGUAAAGUUCUGUCUUCUAGGACGAUAAUGACGGUACCAGAGGAGGAAGCCACGGCUAACUACGUGCCAGCAGCCGCGGUAAUACGUAGGUGGCAAGCGUUGUCCG
RNAcentral lists this ribosomal RNA (500 nucleotides) under uncultured bacterium. RNAcentral's name for it is "bacterial SSU rRNA". It matches the Rfam family "Bacterial small subunit ribosomal RNA", at positions 28 to 547 of the family's 1533-position model. The record is from RNAcentral.